RNAcentral lists this long non-coding RNA (680 nucleotides) under Sinocyclocheilus anshuiensis. RNAcentral's name for it is "lncRNA (ENSSANG00000001846.1)". Lineage: Eukaryota; Metazoa; Chordata; Actinopteri; Cypriniformes; Cyprinidae. The record is from RNAcentral.
UUUUCAUGAACAAAAAGCAAACCGGUUUGGAAUGGUGGUAAAUAAUGCCAGAAAUACAAUACAAUUCUAAAUACUUGGAUUAUUUUGGCUUUUUUUUUUUUUUUGCAGUUAGGUUGGUCAAUCGGGCCUGAAUACUUGAUCAAACAGCAGACUGUUAUGCAGAACAGUCUCUAUACAUGUCCGACCCCAUUACAGGCAAGUUUUGUCUGUGUUAUUAUAUAGUUGUACACAAUGCACUCUUCUAUGCAAUGUGUUUGUGACAUACAUUGUACUGCAUAGUAGGAGGCUGUUGGCCAGGUCUUCUUCGGGACUUUGAGCUGAUGGGUCAACCCGACUGCUACUUUGGCGUUAGAGUUGGAAGGGAAAAGAGACCGCAUGGCAGCCAUGUUGAGACAGACUGGCAUGACUCCAGUGGUCCUGGAGGGAGGAUACUUCAUGAUAGUGGAUGUCACAGCACUCAAUCAGGACUUGUCACAUAUGGGAGAUGAUGAACCAUAUGAUUACAUAUGAUUUGUCAAAUGGAUGAUAAAAGAGAAGAAACUGGCUGCGAUUCCUGUAACAGCUUUUGUGGGGGAAGAUUCAGUAAAGCAGUUUGAGAAAUACAUCCGUUUGUGUUUUAUCAAGGUAAGGAGUGGGUUAAUUUUAGGCUUUUACGGGAAAUGCAAAAGAUCGUUCAGCUA